CGGCACUUGGCGUCUCCAAGCCGAUCCGAUGCCAAGAGACCAAGCACGCAGGCUUGGUCGAGAGGUCCUUUAAAGUUGCACGCGGGGGAUGUCUAUGUGCAGUCGGGGUCCCUGAGGUGGGCCUUUCACAGGAGUGUCAAAACUUCGAUUGUUCUUACUGCUCCAGGCUUGAAUAAACCGCCUCGAGCGCAUCUGUACAUCCCACCCCUCAAGAUCAGAAUGUGCUCCGGUUGUAUUGUAAACAAUGACAUCUUCUAUAUUGCUUAUCUAUUUGAGCACAAUUGAGAUGCAGAGAAUAUUAAUGAAGAGGAUUGUGCCAAACCUGUGCAAGCACGACUGUUAAUGGUAUGUUGUUUUGUUGUUGUCUCACACUUUUUUAGAUGCGCUGUUGUUUAUAAAUGCUACUUCUUUUGAUAAAACCGCUUUUAAUAUACGGUUUUAUUCAGAUUAAAGCUUAUAUACAGCACAGCAACGUACACGCGACCAUGUAUAACGCUUCUCAUUGCUUUGUGAAAAUAAGUGUAUAAAUGGAAUAGUUUGUUGGAGCUGAUCUGAGGAUCUGAUUGAGAGAGAGAGAGAGAGGCAGAGCAGGGAAAUGUGAGGAACAGGAUUGAGAACCGCUGCUUUAGAACACUGGG
Carassius auratus (goldfish) is the source of this 638-nucleotide long non-coding RNA. RefSeq lists it as uncharacterized. The record is from RefSeq and is a predicted model, not a curated record. Lineage: Eukaryota; Metazoa; Chordata; Actinopteri; Cypriniformes; Cyprinidae. The transcript is spliced from 3 exons.